GUUUUGAAAGAAUGGUUACGGGGAUAAGGCAGGGCUCAAGGGAAUACUUGGGAAGAGUUUAACGGCAGGCUAUUCGAGAUGGAAAUGGCACAGUUAACGGAGGGAAGGAUUUGAAACCCUUAAACACAAUUAUCUGCUCUUAGCAAAGUUGGAGACUCUUUGGACUUCCUCGCGUCGUCUCCAUCUUGCUCUGCGCGGGUUUUGAAGGGCAGUGGAGUUCCUUUUUGAAUCUCCCUUUUGAUUUCAGAACCCUCUUCAUUUCAGCCACCUGCAGAGAGAGACCAUGCCGAGACCCCGGAAGAGACCAGCCGGGGCUGCUGGCCCAGAAAAGAACGGGCAAUCAGAAAAACAUACCAAAUUUGAGAACUCAGGUGAGGCAUCAGCAAAAGUGGAGAACUCCAGCCCUCAGAAGACUUCAGUCUUUAAAAACUGUGGGAGGAAUCUAAGCAACUACUGGCUGAUGAAAUCAGAGCCAGAGAGCCGACUAGACAAAGGUGUAGAUGUGAAGUUUAGCAUUGAGGAUCUCAAAGCACAGCCCUUGCAGACAGCAUGCUGGGAUGGUGUUCGUAACUACCAGGCACGAAACUUCCUUAGAGCUAUGAAGCUGGAGGAAGAAGCCUUCUUCUACCAUAGCAACUGCAAAGAACCAGGCAUUGUAGGACUUAUGAAGAUUGUAAAGGAGGCUUACCCAGACCACACACAGUUUGAGAAAAACAGUCCCCAUUAUGACCCAUCCAGCAAAGAGGACAACCCCAAAUGGUCCAUGGUGGAUGUACAGUUUGUUCGAAUGAUGAAGCGUUUCAUCUCCCUGGCUGAGCUUAAAACCUGUCACCAAUCUCACAAGGCUACUGGUGGCCCCUUAAAAGAUAUGGCUCUCUUCACUCGCCAGAGGCUCUCAGUCCAGCCCCUGACCCAAGGUAUUUCUCACUGGUGAGGGACAGAUGACCCCAGGCACUUCCACAGGUUUCUGUCCCAGAACAUUCCUACUAGCCAGAGAAGAUGCAGAAAGGAGGUGUCUGGUGCCAGCAGUGAAAGGCCAGAGAGAAGGUGGCAUGUGGAAACCUCAGAGCACCACAUUCAAGACGCCCAAAAAGGGUAUCCAGGGCCCUGGUGGAAGCACCUCACCUGCUGCUUGAAGUAGCGCCGUUCCUCCUCAUCUAUCAGCACCAGGUUGAGAGCUGGUCCAAAAAUAGAAUAUCAGGAAGAGAAAAACUGGGCCCCAACUCUUCAAGGGGCUGGAGCAAUGACACCUGAAUCUGCUGAGAAGUGUCCCCAGGGUUGUGGGCUGCUUAAUCUGUGGCACACCUCCUUCCACAUGAAAUGGACUGUGGGAAUACUCUGGAUGAACUCUUGGAAGGAAUGAAAUAAAAUCUUGGAAAGACCAAGCAAGCACUUCAAAAUGAGAAGACACAUUGAUUGCUACAGUCAAUGAAGAAUACAAGUGAUUGCUACUCCCAAAUAAUCACAGAUUCCCAAAUAAAGAAGAAAUUCAAUUCCACUAA
Marmota monax (woodchuck) is the source of this 1502-nucleotide RNA transcript. It is a transcript of the gene named thymocyte nuclear protein 1, with no coding region annotated. The transcript is spliced from 9 exons. NCBI's taxonomy places the organism in Eukaryota, Metazoa, Chordata, Mammalia, Rodentia, Sciuridae. The record is from RefSeq and is a predicted model, not a curated record.